UAGAGCCAAGAGGCUGGAGCUAGUGCGGAGGAUCUUUCAGAGAGGAUACCAAUGCAGGUAUCAGAAGGUGCAAAUGUACAGAAAGGAGAAAAAGGCAACUUGGUCUCAUAUCCCAAAGUGGUGCUUAAGUUGUCUUUGGACUGGUGAGCUGCAUACCUGAGUGUUCUGCAAACUGUGCUCCUACAAUCCUCACAGAGACCAUGAGCAAUUCAAAUCCACCAUGAAACACUGUAGUCUAGGGAUGAAGGCCAGAGAAAUGCAGAGAAAAAUGAAAUGAAGAGGCAGAUAUGUUCAGAAUGGAAAUAAGCUCUCUGUUUGAAGGAACAGAUGCUGAGUCCAGCAGGACUAUUCCAUUAGAAAAAUCUCAUGCUGAUCUCACCAUUAAAAAUGAAAAAAUGUUAGUGCUAUAAGAGGGAUCGGGAGAGGUGUCUGAGUCUUGCGUCUGAGUCCUGGUUCUGGGAUAGUGCCAAUGAUGACAAUGAAAACGGCGAUGAUGAUAAUGUCUCAAAUGUUUAUAAAGAUGCCCUUUCUCUCUGUCCCCUUUCUCUGUCAAUGCCUUUUCUUAUGUGCAGUUUUCUAUAUACCAACCAAUAAA
This is a long non-coding RNA of Sceloporus undulatus (fence lizard), 595 nucleotides long. RefSeq lists it as uncharacterized. The transcript has 4 exons. The record is from RefSeq and is a predicted model, not a curated record. Lineage: Eukaryota; Metazoa; Chordata; Lepidosauria; Squamata; Phrynosomatidae.